ACUCCUACGGGAGGCAGCAGUGGGGAAUUUUGGACAAUGGGCGAAAGCCUGAUCCAGCAAUGCCGCGUGAGUGAAGAAGGCCUUCGGGUUGUAAAGCUCUUUUGUCAGGGAAGAAACGGUGAAAGCUAAUAUCUUUUGCUAAUGACGGUACCUGAAGAAUAAGCACCGGCUAACUACGUGCCAGCAGCCGCGGUAAUACGUAGGGUGCAAGCGUUAAUCGGAAUUACUGGGCGUAAAGCGUGCGCAGGCGGUUUUGUAAGUCUGAUGUGAAAUCCCCGGGCUCAACCUGGGAAUUGCAUUGGAGACUGCAAGGCUAGAAUCUGGCAGAGGGGGGUAGAAUUCCACGUGUAGCAGUGAAAUGCGUAGAUAUGUGGAGGAACACCGAUGGCGAAGGCAGCCCCCUGGGUCAAGAUUGACGCUCAUGCACGAAAGCGUGGGGAGCAAACAGGAUUAGAAACCCGAGUAGUCCCAU
RNAcentral lists this ribosomal RNA (472 nucleotides) under uncultured organism. RNAcentral's name for it is "partial 16S ribosomal RNA". It matches the Rfam family "Bacterial small subunit ribosomal RNA", at positions 335 to 798 of the family's 1533-position model. The record is from RNAcentral.